RNAcentral lists this transfer RNA (68 nucleotides) under Incisitermes schwarzi. RNAcentral describes it as "tRNA-Phe". The record is from RNAcentral. Lineage: Eukaryota; Metazoa; Arthropoda; Insecta; Blattodea; Kalotermitidae.
ACUUGAAUAUCUUAUAUUUAGAGUAUGACAUUGAAGCUGUUAUCGAGGUUAUAAUUAACCUUCAGGUG